This 73-nucleotide transfer RNA is filed under the name Stegodyphus mimosarum. It matches the Rfam family "tRNA". From Rfam's summary of the family: Transfer RNA (tRNA) molecules are approximately 80 nucleotides in length. Their secondary structure includes four short double-helical elements and three loops (D, anti-codon, and T loops). Further hydrogen bonds mediate the characteristic L-shaped molecular structure. tRNAs have two regions of fundamental functional importance: the anti-codon, which is responsible for specific mRNA codon recognition, and the 3' end, to which the tRNAs corresponding amino acid is attached (by aminoacyl-tRNA synthetases). tRNAs cope with the degeneracy of the genetic code in two manners: having more than one tRNA (with a specific anti-codon) for a particular amino acid; and 'wobble' base-pairing, i.e. permitting non-standard base-pairing at the 3rd anti-codon position. The record is from Rfam by way of RNAcentral. Lineage: Eukaryota; Metazoa; Arthropoda; Arachnida; Araneae; Eresidae.
GCCUUUGUGGUGUAGUGGUCAGCACGCUCGGCGCGAAUUCGAAAGGUCCGUGGUUCAAGUCCUGGCGCAGGUG